CUUCCUACCGGGCGCAGCAGUGAGGAAUAUUGGUCAAUGGGCGCAAGCCUGAACCAGCCAAGUCGCGUGAGGGAAGACGGUCCUAUGGAUUGUAAACCUCUUUUGCCGGGGAGCAAUGCAGGCCUUGCGAGGCCUGAGGGAGAGUACCCGGAGAAAAAGCAUCGGCUAACUCCGUGCCAGCAGCCGCGGUAAUACGGAGGAUGCGAGCGUUAUCCGGAUUUAUUGGGUUUAAAGGGUGCGUAGGCGGAUUUUUAAGUCAGCGGUAAAAUGUCCGGGCUCAACCCGGGCCGGCCGUUGAAACUGGG
Molecule: ribosomal RNA, 305 nt
Filed under: uncultured bacterium
Lineage: Bacteria
Description: bacterial SSU rRNA
Rfam family: Bacterial small subunit ribosomal RNA
Source: RNAcentral